This 429-nucleotide ribosomal RNA is filed under the name Bacteroidota bacterium. RNAcentral describes it as "Bacteroidetes bacterium partial 16S ribosomal RNA". It matches the Rfam family "Bacterial small subunit ribosomal RNA", at positions 355 to 776 of the family's 1533-position model. Lineage: Bacteria; Pseudomonadati; Bacteroidota. The record is from RNAcentral.
UAGGGAAUCUUCGGCAAUGGGGGGAACCCUGACCGAGCAACGCCGCGUGAGUGAAGAAGGUUUUCGGAUCGUAAAGCUCUGUUGUUAAGGAAGAACGAGUGUGAGAAUGGAAAGUUCAUACUGUGACGGUACUUAACCAGAAAGGGACGGCUAACUACGUGCCAGCAGCCGCGGUAAUACGUAGGUCCCGAGCGUUGUCCGGAUUUAUUGGGCGUAAAGCGAGCGCAGGCGGUUAGAUAAGUCUGAAGUUAAAGGCAGUGGCUCAACCAUUGUAGACUUUGGAAACUGUUUAACUUGAGUGCAGAAGGGGGGAGUGGAAUUCCAUGUGUAGCGGUGAAAUGCGUAGAUAUAUGGAGGAACACCGGUGGCGAAAGCGGCUCUCUGGUCUGUAACUGACGCUGAGGCUCGAAAGCGUGGGGAGCGAACAGG